AUCGGGAAGUGACAUCAUUCACCGUCGACUGGAACUUAAACAGUAGGAAAGUGAUACAGCUAAACACAUUAGGAGUUAAGUUAACGCUUGCUGUUUUGUAAACUAUUACAACUGCACUCACGGCGUUGAAAACAGCGCAGUUUUCAGUUUUUUUGUUUUUGUUUGGAAAUAACUCGCGUUGGAACUCUGGGCUCAGAGCGGCAUCACUUAGCAUGUGAAACUUCGGGAUGGAUAUCAUCACCUUCUGCAACAUUCCUCUACACGUUUGUUUGUUUGUUUGUGGUAUUCGUUUUCACAGUACUCCGAAGUCAAAGCGAGGACAUGACAUUUAUUGACAACACUGUGACCGUGUGAUGCAUCAUGAUACUGUUGUAAACCAUAACAAAACAUGUUCACUUUGUAUGAAUAAGCAGCAUCCUGCAUUAUCAUUGUUGUUCAUUAUGCAUAUAACAAGUUAAUAAAUGACAAAUGUACGUAAAUUCUACAUCUUUUUAUUUGUGUAUCAUAACAUAGUGAGACAAAGACAAACGUGCUCCAGUGUUUUAGUGAGUUUGCUGGACGCAGCAGGCACGUGCAGAGGGGGGGCUUGAGCCCAGGCCCAUUUUCUUCCUCGAGAGAAAGUGCCACUUUUCUGGGAUUUGUUUUAUAAAUUGAUAUAUGAAUGUGCACGCGUAUGUGUUUCUGUUUGCGCACGGCUUUCCUUGUCAAACAAUUAGAAAAUGUCAGUUCAGGUCGGGAAAUGUUGAGAGUUCCGAUGCCUUUCUCCCAUCCGCGUCAGGCGCAGCACAGCUGUGUGUGUAGCACGUUUGGCACAUCAGGCAGAGAGCCACAGAAGUGAAGACCUCCCUCCUUUCCAGUAGCAUUUUGGUGGAGAAGGUGCUCGUUGCAGAGCCAAGGGGGUGGAGCAAAGCUCCAGCUCCCCCUCGUGGGACCUAGUGGGCGGAGCUUGAGCGACUCCGUGUACAAGCCAUCGGAACUUACACAAUUUGCAUCGCACGAUUUGACCAUCAUCAAGUCUGGUCUAAACUGCAGACCAUCACCACAUUUUCACUGCUGCUAUUGAACUUCAACAGUAAUCAGACAGGCUGGUAUUAUUAAAGAUUUUAAAACCUUUAAAAACAUCCGGACAGCCUCCAUUGCCAGCAGCCACCACCAUCCCUAUAGCAUCAGCAGCACCACCUCCAUCAACAGCAUCUGCAGCACCACCUCCAAAAAGAUUACGUGUCCGGCAACAAAUCAGGGUGACUUGCACACACUUUGGAAUUCAGAUAUAUCAAAGGAACUUGCUGGUUCAUAUUAACAGAAGACACUGGCAAAAAGUAACUGAAAUUUCAGCAAAACAACACCUGUAAUGUAAAUACAUUAAAACCAGAAAUGGCAUCUGAAUUCACUCUAAUAAUAUGCACAUGUUUGGAGUUUAUACUAACACAAAUGAAUGUCUGUGUUCUUAUGAAAACCAACUUGUUUUAUUCUGUAUUUAUUUUUAAAUGAACUAGCUACAAAAUUAUUUUUUUACAGGUGUGAGGAGUGAUGGAACAAUACUUCUGUGAUUUCAUGAACUGAACUGUGUCAUGCAUUAUUAGGAUUAUAUAGGAAGGGGACGUUCUCUUUAAAACCAUAACAUUUUUAUUGCAAUAUGAUGAAUUUUGUCUUUAUUUGGAUUUGAAUGCCCAUAUUGUUAUUUAAUCUGUGUAUUGUUUUGUUGUAUUUCUUUAGAAAAUUGGUGAAUUCCAUUUCUCCAGGCCAUUGGAACAUGUCUGUACUGACAGAUUUUGAGGCUCUCUGUUAUGCUCUCAAGGCCAUUUGGUUUUGCUUUGGACUCAGCGGUCAUGAGAAAUAUUCAUCUGGCCUGUGAGUGGGUGGAGGAGAACCAACGCCACUUUGCUGGGAAGAUUGAACUGCCAAAGAUUUUAAGAAUGAAGGAGGAUGAUCACAAUGUGUGACUUAUUUAUAAACACAUUAUAUGAAGGUGACAUAGACGAAGAAGAAAUCCGGGCUCCUUUCUUAUUCUCUUUUCAGAGACGAGAGGACAUGGAAUUUGCAGGAAAUACGAGACAAAAGAAAUAUCCGUGUGUCUUGUUUCUUCAACCCUGACUUGUGAAUAUUGUGGGAUGUUGUAAAUAUUGUAUGUAAAUAUCAUUUUGUUUUUGUAA
Long non-coding RNA from Triplophysa rosa, 2153 nucleotides. RefSeq lists it as uncharacterized. The record is from RefSeq and is a predicted model, not a curated record. The transcript has 4 exons. NCBI's taxonomy places the organism in Eukaryota, Metazoa, Chordata, Actinopteri, Cypriniformes, Nemacheilidae.